GAAACAUGAAGUCUGCGCUUUUCUAUCUUCUAAUUGGAUUUUACACUUGUCAAGCAGAUUUCUCAGUGGAAGAACAUGAAAGGCAACAAAGAAAAAUCAAUUACAAUGUACCAGCUACUCAAGAUUUGCUGAAUUCAGAAUAUCCGGAAAUAAAAAAAAUUGAAAUGAUUACUCAUCCUUUGCUGGAUGAAAUUAGACUCGAAGGAGCAAUUGCUAAAGAAGCAGGAAAGGACCCAAGUGAUUGCAUUCAUCAAGUCACCAAAUUUUUAUUAUCUUCUGUUGAUGAUUUCUUCAAAGCAAUUGAUAAAUGUCAAAUUAAUUCAGCCAAUGAUCUAAAAAUAGCUAAUGUGGAGGAGGCUUCUUCCUGUAACCAAAAAACAAUGUCUGCUUUUGGAUCAGUGAUAAACGGGGCUCGAGAAUAUUUCAGAUACUGUAUUCUAAGCAUACCAGACACGAGUCCUUAAUGUGUCCGAAAAAUUUAAAUUGUUUAUUUUUUUACUUUUUUCACAGUGAUCGAUUUUUUUCAUUUCUAUAUUAUAAUUAGUCGUUAUUGGAAUUUAUUAACUAUGUAUACAAAAGGAAAAUGAAGGGCAUCUAAUUAAUAACGACAUCUCAAACGACAGUGUUUUAAUGACGAUUAUAAAACCUGACGCAUAUAAGGAAAACGAGGAAUAAUAUUAAGAAUGAUAUCUUCAUCGCCACAUAAAUACACUUUCCAUCUGAUAACACAAUCAGCAAUUGUGAAAAAAUGCUAAAAGCUGGCAGACGCUAAUGGUAUAAAAACAAUUUUUAACAACAUUAGAAACAGUCUGAGUUCAUCUUUGAGAGGAAGAAAAGCAAUAAGAGAAUCAUGAAGUUUGUACUUUUCUGCAGUUUUUUGGCUUUUUGCGCCUUUGAAUUUUUUCCAGACAGCUUUUUCUGAUGCAGCUGCAGAUCGACGAUUGUCGAAUCAACUCUACAAUAUGAAGUUUGCGUCAAUGCAACAAAUAAACGAUAUCACGAAUCCAAUAC
Molecule: RNA transcript, 1011 nt
Organism: Belonocnema kinseyi
Lineage: Eukaryota; Metazoa; Arthropoda; Insecta; Hymenoptera; Cynipidae
Exons: 6
Source: RefSeq, a predicted model, not a curated record